CCUUUGUACACACCGCCCGUCGCUACUACCGAUUGAAUGGCUCAGUGAGGCUUCCGGACUGGCCCAGAGGAGUCGGCAACGACACCUCAGGGCCGGAAAGCUAUCCAAACUCGGUCAUUUAGAGG
RNAcentral lists this ribosomal RNA (125 nucleotides) under Xylaria sp. RNAcentral's name for it is "partial small subunit ribosomal RNA". It matches the Rfam family "Eukaryotic small subunit ribosomal RNA", at positions 1657 to 1779 of the family's 1831-position model. The record is from RNAcentral. Lineage: Eukaryota; Fungi; Ascomycota; Sordariomycetes; Xylariales; Xylariaceae.